CUUUAACAAUCUGGAACAAGCUGAAAAUUGAAACAUGACGGCUGAAACUUGUCCCUCCGUAUAAGUUUGGGAUAAGGAGUAACCUGUCAUAGAGUCUCUCAAAUGUUUGCAACGCGAAGUGAAACAUCUUCGG
This 133-nucleotide small RNA is filed under the name Serratia sp. FGI94. RNAcentral describes it as "Salmonella enterica Typhi npcRNA 44". It matches the Rfam family "Salmonella enterica Typhi npcRNA 44". Lineage: Bacteria; Pseudomonadati; Pseudomonadota; Gammaproteobacteria; Enterobacterales; Yersiniaceae. The record is from RNAcentral.